RNAcentral lists this long non-coding RNA (369 nucleotides) under Struthio camelus australis. RNAcentral describes it as "lncRNA (ENSSCUG00000003548.1)". The record is from RNAcentral. Lineage: Eukaryota; Metazoa; Chordata; Aves; Struthioniformes; Struthionidae.
CAGACUUGCAUGGUAGGCCUGUACUGAGAAGUAAAGCUGAAAUGCCCCCCUGGCCGGUAUGCGAUGCUGCUGUGGGAUUCCAAGCGCAGGAUGAUUAGUGUAACUAGUGGCAACCCUCGGAAUAAUGUUCUAACAGAUGUUAUGUUCUCUUUCAGUUCUGCGCUCUAUGGCACAAGAGCAACUAGGAAGGCUUGGUCCUACUUGCAUGGAAUUUCUGUGCUUUUGCUUGUGUCACUUUCAAGUCGCAUACACAAGAAGCAGAGAGAACAGAGGUUUUUGGAUCAUACAGGGAAAGGGAAAUAACUUGCUAGUAAGUCUUGCACCUUUAUCAUGUGUGGUUUGUAAAUCUGAUAAUUGUGAAAGGAUGAG